GGGGACUGUGGCUCAGCAUUAGAACUACUGCUUGGCAUGCAGAAGGUCCCAGGUUCAAUUCCCGGCAUCUCUA
RNAcentral lists this transfer RNA (73 nucleotides) under Sphaerodactylus townsendi. Its description in RNAcentral is "tRNA-Ala". It matches the Rfam family "tRNA". From Rfam's summary of the family: Transfer RNA (tRNA) molecules are approximately 80 nucleotides in length. Their secondary structure includes four short double-helical elements and three loops (D, anti-codon, and T loops). Further hydrogen bonds mediate the characteristic L-shaped molecular structure. tRNAs have two regions of fundamental functional importance: the anti-codon, which is responsible for specific mRNA codon recognition, and the 3' end, to which the tRNAs corresponding amino acid is attached (by aminoacyl-tRNA synthetases). tRNAs cope with the degeneracy of the genetic code in two manners: having more than one tRNA (with a specific anti-codon) for a particular amino acid; and 'wobble' base-pairing, i.e. permitting non-standard base-pairing at the 3rd anti-codon position. Lineage: Eukaryota; Metazoa; Chordata; Lepidosauria; Squamata; Sphaerodactylidae. The record is from RNAcentral.